This 534-nucleotide ribosomal RNA is filed under the name uncultured Arsenophonus sp. RNAcentral describes it as "partial 23S ribosomal RNA". It matches the Rfam family "Bacterial large subunit ribosomal RNA", at positions 175 to 750 of the family's 2925-position model. Lineage: Bacteria; Pseudomonadati; Pseudomonadota; Gammaproteobacteria; Enterobacterales; Morganellaceae. The record is from RNAcentral.
CGAGGCGAACCGGGGGAACUGAAACAUCUAAGUACCCCGAGGAAAAGAAAUCAACCGAGAUUCCCCCAGUAGCGGCGAGCGAACGGGGAGCAGCCCAGGACCUGAAUCAGCUUGUGCAUCAGUGGAAGCGUCUGGAAAGUCGCGCGAUACCGGGUGACAGCCCCGUACACGAAGAUGCGCAGGUUGUGAGUCCGACGAGUAGGGCGGGACACGUGGUAUCCUGUCUGAACAUGGGGGGACCAUCCUCCAAGGCUAAAUACCCCUGACUGACCGAUAGUGAACCAGUACCGUGAGGGAAAGGCGAAAAGAACCCCGGCGAGGGGAGUGAAACAGAACCUGAAACCGUGUACGUACAAGCAGUGGGAGCCUACUUGUUAGUGUGACUGCGUACCUUUUGUAUAAUGGGUCAGCGACUUAUAUUCUGUAGCAAGGUUAACCGCAUAGGGGAGCCGAAGGGAAACCGAGUCUUAAUUGGGCGUUAAGUUGCAGGGUAUAGACCCGAAACCCGGUGAUCUAGCCAUGGGCAGGUUGAAG